Long non-coding RNA from Bos indicus x Bos taurus (hybrid cattle), 325 nucleotides. The record is from Ensembl. Lineage: Eukaryota; Metazoa; Chordata; Mammalia; Artiodactyla; Bovidae.
CGGGCUGGGAGAGACUCUGUACUCGGUCCCUGCCCUGUGGGUACGUGGUCAUGCAGCGGUGCAGGCAGCUGGUCUUCCACAGCUUGGGACAACACUGCUGUUCAACUGCUGAUGACAGAGCAGAGACCUGCAGUGCAUGACUUCUUAGGAAGCCUGUUCCCAUUUGGGAGCAAGAGGCUCCUGGUGCCCUUGGUACUGAGGGCCAUCGUUCUGUGAGUGACAGCGGGCAGAGCUGUGGCAUCCCAACUCCAGCCUACUUUCCAGCAAUACCACCACCUGGAAUUUGUGAAAUAAAUGCAGAAGAAAUGGCUGUAAAAUUGAAUUU